Molecule: ribosomal RNA, 497 nt
Filed under: uncultured bacterium
Lineage: Bacteria
Description: partial 16S ribosomal RNA
Rfam family: Bacterial small subunit ribosomal RNA
Source: RNAcentral
GAUGAACGCUGGCGGCGUGCCUAAUACAUGCAAGUCGAGCGAACAGACGAGGAGCUUGCUCCUCUGACGUUAGCGGCGGACGGGUGAGUAACACGUGGAUAACCUACCUAUAAGACUGGGAUAACUUCGGGAAACCGGAUCUAAUACCGGAUAAUAUAUUGAACCGCAUGGUUCAAUAGUGAAAGACGGUUUUGCUGUCACUUAUAGAUGGAUCCGCGCCGCAUUAGCUAGUUGGUAAGGUAACGGCUUACCAAGGCAACGAUGCGUAGCCGACCUGAGAGGGUGAUCGGCCACACUAGAACUGAGACACGGUCCAGACUCCUACGGGAGGCAGCAGUAGGGAAUCUUCCGCAAUGGGCGAAAGCCUGACGGAGCGACGCCGCGUGAGUGAUGAAGGUCUUCGGAUCGUAAAACUCUGUUAUUAGGGAAGAACAAAUGUGUAAGUAACUAUGCACGUCUUGACGGUACCUAAUCAGAAAGCCACGGCUAACUACGUG